CACUCCUACGGGAGGCAGCAGUGGGGAAUUUUGGACAAUGGGCGAAAGCCUGAUCCAGCCAUGCCGCGUGCAGGAUGAAGGCCUUCGGGUUGUAAACUGCUUUUGUACGGAACGAAACGGCCUUUUCUAAUAAAGAGGGCUAAUGACGGUACCGUAAGAAUAAGCACUGGCUAACUACGUGCCAGCAGCCGCGGUAAUACGUAGGGUGCAAGCGUUAAUCGGAAUUACUGGGCGUAAAGCGUGCGCAGGCGGUUAUGUAAGACAGUUGUGAAAUCCCCGGGCUCAACCUGGGAACUGCAUCUGUGACUGCAUAGCUAGAGUACGGUAGAGGGGGAUGGAAUUCCGCGUGUAGCAGUGAAAUGCGUAGAUAUGCGGAGGAACACCGAUGGCGAAGGCAAUCCCCUGGACCUGUACUGACGCUCAUGCACGAAAGCGUGGGGAGCAAACAGGAUUAGAUACCCCGGUAGUCCCA
Molecule: ribosomal RNA, 472 nt
Filed under: uncultured organism
Description: partial 16S ribosomal RNA
Rfam family: Bacterial small subunit ribosomal RNA
Source: RNAcentral